RNAcentral lists this long non-coding RNA (257 nucleotides) under Ananas comosus (pineapple). Its description in RNAcentral is "long non-coding RNA (ACOM_LNC002761)". Lineage: Eukaryota; Viridiplantae; Streptophyta; Magnoliopsida; Poales; Bromeliaceae. The record is from RNAcentral.
AAAUAAUAGCAGUAGUAAAUAUGGUAUUGAAAUCUUUCUAAAUUCAAAAUUUAAGUCUCAAAUUUAUGCAUAUAUGGAGAUUCCAACUUUAAUAUAAAUAAAAAAUCAGUAGUUAUGAUAACAAAUGAUACUGAGUGUUAUUUGAUGGUACUUUUUUGUUCCUGAAUUGGCCAAACAAAAUUCAACUUUAUUCCGGAUAUAAACCAAACAACUAAUAUUUGGAAAAUUUGAUAGCUAAAAAAGUUUCUAAAAGUUAU